Molecule: ribosomal RNA, 434 nt
Filed under: uncultured bacterium
Lineage: Bacteria
Description: bacterial SSU rRNA
Rfam family: Bacterial small subunit ribosomal RNA
Source: RNAcentral
UGGAUAGAGGCUUUCGGCCAAUUGAAGUUGAGGACAGUGGCAACGGGUGAGUAACGCGUGAGGAACCUGCCUUUCAUGGGGGACAACAGUUGGAAACGACUGCUAAUACCGCAUGAUACUAUUGAGUGGCAUCACUUGAUAGUCAAAGAUUUAUUGCUGAAAGAUGGCCUCGCGUCUGAUUAGCUAGUUGGUGGGGGUUAACGGGCCCACCAAGGCGACGAUCAGUAGCCGGACUGAGAGGUUGACCGGCCACAUUGGGACUGAGAUACGGCCCAGACUCCUACGGGAGGCAGCAGUGGGGAAUAUUGGGCAAUGGGCGAAAGCCUGACCCAGCAACGCCGCGUGAAGGAAGAAGGCCUUCGGGUUGUAAACUUCUUUUACCAGGGACGAACACAAUGACGGUACCUGGAGAAAAAGCAACGGCUAACUACGUG